GCUCCCGUAGUGUAGUCCGGCCAAUCUUUCUUAUUAACUAAAGAAAGGGCUUGGCAUGCUAGGCUUUCACCCUGGUGACCCGGGUUCGAAUCCCGGCGGGAGCA
This 104-nucleotide transfer RNA is filed under the name Promethearchaeota archaeon. RNAcentral's name for it is "Candidatus Lokiarchaeota archaeon (marine sediment metagenome) tRNA-Glu". It matches the Rfam family "tRNA". Rfam says of the family: Transfer RNA (tRNA) molecules are approximately 80 nucleotides in length. Their secondary structure includes four short double-helical elements and three loops (D, anti-codon, and T loops). Further hydrogen bonds mediate the characteristic L-shaped molecular structure. tRNAs have two regions of fundamental functional importance: the anti-codon, which is responsible for specific mRNA codon recognition, and the 3' end, to which the tRNAs corresponding amino acid is attached (by aminoacyl-tRNA synthetases). tRNAs cope with the degeneracy of the genetic code in two manners: having more than one tRNA (with a specific anti-codon) for a particular amino acid; and 'wobble' base-pairing, i.e. permitting non-standard base-pairing at the 3rd anti-codon position. The record is from RNAcentral. Lineage: Archaea; Promethearchaeati; Promethearchaeota.